UACGGAGGGUUCAAGCGUUAUCCGGAAUCAUUGGGUUUAAAGGAUCCGUAGGCGGGCUAAUAAGUCAGCGGUGAAAUUUACUGGCUCAACCAGUAGCGUGCCGUUGAAACUGAUAGUCUUGAGUUGUUGAGGAGUAGCUAGAAUGUGUAGUGUAGUGGUGAAAUGCGUAGAUAUUACACAGAAUACCGAAAGCGAAGGCAGGCUACUAUUAACAUACUGACGCUGAUGGAUGAAAGCGUGGGUAUCGAAC
RNAcentral lists this ribosomal RNA (250 nucleotides) under uncultured bacterium. RNAcentral describes it as "partial 16S ribosomal RNA". It matches the Rfam family "Bacterial small subunit ribosomal RNA", at positions 524 to 773 of the family's 1533-position model. The record is from RNAcentral.